This 429-nucleotide ribosomal RNA is filed under the name bacterium. RNAcentral describes it as "partial 16S ribosomal RNA". It matches the Rfam family "Bacterial small subunit ribosomal RNA", at positions 355 to 776 of the family's 1533-position model. The record is from RNAcentral.
UAGGGAAUCUUCCACAAUGGACGCAAGUCUGAUGGAGCAACGCCGCGUGAGUGAAGAAGGUUUUCGGAUCGUAAAGCUCUGUUGUUGGUGAAGAAGGAUAGAGGUAGUAACUGGCCUUUAUUUGACGGUAAUCAACCAGAAAGUCACGGCUAACUACGUGCCAGCAGCCGCGGUAAUACGUAGGUGGCAAGCGUUGUCCGGAUUUAUUGGGCGUAAAGCGAGCGCAGGCGGAAGAAUAAGUCUGAUGUGAAAGCCCUCGGCUUAACCGAGGAACUGCAUCGGAAACUGUUUUUCUUGAGUGCAGAAGAGGAGAGUGGAAUUCCAUGUGUAGCGGUGGAAUGCGUAGAUAUAUGGAGGAACACCAGUGGCGAAGGCGACUCUCUGGUCUGCAACUGACGCUGAGGCUCGAAAGCAUGGGUAGCGAACAGG